GACGUAGGGUGCAAGCGUUGUCCGGAUUUAUUGGGCGUAAAGGGCUCGUAGGCGGUUUGUCGCGUCGGGAGUGAAAACCUUGGGCUUAACUCAGGGCUUGCUUUCGAUACGGGCAGACUAGAGGUAUGCAGGGGAGAACGGAAUUCCUGGUGUAGCGGUGAAAUGCGCAGAUAUCAGGAGGAACACCGGUGGCGAAGGCGGUUCUCUGGGCAUGAUCUGACGCUGAGGAGCGAAAGUGUGGGGAGCGAACAGG
Molecule: ribosomal RNA, 253 nt
Filed under: uncultured bacterium
Lineage: Bacteria
Description: partial 16S ribosomal RNA
Rfam family: Bacterial small subunit ribosomal RNA
Source: RNAcentral